GAUGAACGCUGGCGGCGUGCUUAACACAUGCAAGUCGAACGGAAAGGCCCAAGCUUGCUUGGGUACUCGAGUGGCGAACGGGUGAGUAACACGUGGGUGAUCUGCCCUGCACUUCGGGAUAAGCCUGGGAAACUGGGUCUAAUACCGGAUAGGACCACAUUUUGGAUGGUGUGGUGGAAAGUUUUUCGGUGUGGGAUGAGCUCGCGGCCUAUCAGCUUGUUGGUGGGGUAAUGGCCUACCAAGGCGUCGACGGGUAGCCGGCCUGAGAGGGUGUACGGCCACAUUGGGACUGAGAUACGGCCCAGACUCCGACGGGAGGCAGCAGUGGGGAAGAUUGCACAAGGGGCGCAAGCCUGAUGCAGCGGCGCCGCGUGGGGGAUGACGGCCUUCGGGUUGUAAACUCCUUUCGCUAGGGACGAAGCGUUAUGUGACGGUACCUGGAGAAGAAGCACCGGCUAACUACGUG
This 466-nucleotide ribosomal RNA is filed under the name uncultured bacterium. RNAcentral describes it as "partial 16S ribosomal RNA". It matches the Rfam family "Bacterial small subunit ribosomal RNA", at positions 28 to 507 of the family's 1533-position model. The record is from RNAcentral.